RNAcentral lists this long non-coding RNA (3768 nucleotides) under Cucumis sativus (cucumber). RNAcentral describes it as "long non-coding RNA (CSAT_LNC000665)". Lineage: Eukaryota; Viridiplantae; Streptophyta; Magnoliopsida; Cucurbitales; Cucurbitaceae. The record is from RNAcentral.
UUUUCCCACAGUCACAUAAACCCUCAAAAUUAGAGGGAAAUAACAAUAGCAACUGAAGGGGAAAAAAUUAAACAAAACCGAAAUUGAAAAUGAAUUACUGAGCCAAAUCGGUGAAGGAGGUGAUCAUAGCAAAAAUAUGAGCCAAUAGGUCAAUCGGCAAUCGAUCAAUCUCCGGUUCCAACUCCAUCUCUACCGACCACACAACAGCAGAAUCCAUUCUAGCCAUAUACCAAUUUGGAAGAAGAAGAAGAAGAAGUUUGCGGCGUUGAAAAACGAGGAAAUUCACGAGUUGAAUUCGUUACUUUUGGCAAAAGAUAAGCAUAAAAAAGCAAACGGAAUAUUCAAAGAAGAGAGAGAAGGAGAAGAUGUUGACAUAAUUUCGCCACCAUUUCAAGAAUCUGAGCUCCAAAAUUUAUCCAAAUUAUAUGAUACGAACGAACAUUUUGUUCGGUUUUUUCAUGAAUUUAGUAAAUCCCCAUGAUGGAAUCACUCAUAUUGUCUCAUUCUCUCGCAAAAGCUUCGCUGUAUUUGAAUUCAUCCGACGAAUUUCGUUACAAUUUACUUCCAAAUGUAUAAAUUUAGUCCCAACAAAUAUUGAAUUUAGUUCUUGCCAUUAGUUUAUUGUUAAUUUUAAGUUUGAGUAAUAAGUAGCUGUUCGCAAACGAAUAAACCACAAUACAAUUCAAAAUUCAUGUUUUCCAUCAUAUUUUUAGUACUAAAUUCAUUUUACGACUCUUCCAACAUUCAUUCAAUUCCAAUUUGAAGUCAUUCCUAUUACAUUCCAACCUUUAAACACCUUUAACUUUUUUAAUUUCUAAUCAUUUUUUUUAAAGAAUGAAAAGUUGACACAUGACAACUUUUCAUUGAGUGCAACAAGAUUUGCACAAAGAGACAAGUGCAUCACUAUAGGUGCCUUGGAUCAAGUGCAUAAGCAAUUCACUUAUUAUACAACACCCUCAAACAAACCUAUUCUAAUAAUAUAUGCGUUCUUUUAUUGUUUCUAAAACUUUUUCAUCAAGAUCAAACCACUUAUGACCUCACUUUUUGGACCAACUAAAUGGCACUAGUGCCAAAGUGUUUGGUAUACAACCAAAUUAUGUACUAGAUAGAUUAUAAUAGUUAUACUAAUUAAGAGAAACUUAUAUGAAAUAGAUUAUUUAUUUCAUUACUUAAUCAUCUUUGAAAAGUAUUUAUGAGAGGUCAUUCUCAUGAUGACUUGGAUAAAAAGGACAUGUUGGUCCGUAGUUAGCGAGCUUGGUUUUUAUGUACCUUUGUACUUAUUGUAAUUAUCGUGUGUGACAAUUUAAAAAUUGCAAUACAUACUUUACUUAUAUCCACUUGGAGUCCACAUAUAUAUAUGUAUAUAGAAUCGUGAACGUACUUCUUGGUUAUUUCUUGGUUAUAUUUGAAGUGACAUAUUAUUAUAUUUUACACCCAUGUAGAAUCAAGAACACUUCUUGAUUUGAUUUGAAGUGAUGGACUUAUCGCAACCAAACCGACGAAACAGUCGAUAGGAACCCUCAUUGCCCAAACAUUGAUUGACUCGAGUUGGUGACAAUUACGUACGAGAAUUAGAAGUCCGCUCUCGGUUACAAGGCGACAGCACCACAGGACAAUGGUCUGCAGAAUUAAGAAAAGAAAUUAUGCAACUGAUCAUUAAAGAUUGUGCAAAACCCUAAUGGUUAAUUAAUUGAAAGAGAUUAUUGAGAAGUAUAAUUAAUCACCUUUAAAUUUGGACAAUUGUCUGCUAUUGCAAGCAAUGAUAUAUCUGUUAUAUAGGUGCCACCAAUGUUUAGGUUUUGCAAGGAGUUGGCUCUUGAAAUCUUUGAACACAACCAAAAAUGGAGUGUUACCAAAAAGGAAGUGGAAAUAAUGCUAAUGAGUUGUGAAAGGACAUCAAAUAUAUACAAAGGGGAUAUCAACAUAAGUAUACAUCGCUAAAACUAUAAACUCGAACUAAGAUGCUUUACACCUUUAAACAUAGGUUGAAACAACUUGCACUUCAUAUACAAAUUUAAAAAGUCUCCACUCUAAACUCGACAUAAGAUUAUUAUAACUAGAUCAACCAAUAACUCCUUAGUUUUCUACAUUUUAAAACAGUUAAAGUCAAGUGAAGCAUAUAGGAUUAUUGUGAUUAGGUUAGAGAACUUAUUGACAGAGAGAAAUGAAGAUAUGAACAAUAAAUAUUGUAUAACAAGUAAAAUUUAUAGAACUUAAGACUACUCGGUAACUGUUUUGUUUUUGAAAAUUAAAUCACUUCUACUCAAUUUCUCACGAUGAUUACAAUUUUCAUAAGCUAAACAGUUGAGAGUUGUUGAGAGUUGAAUUCUAAAAAUAAAAACAAAAUUUUAAAAAACCUAAAUCAUCUUGAAACAAUUAUACAUCAAGGAAGCAAUAUGUCUAAACCCAAUGAUCGAUCCAAGACAAAGAUAAAGAAUCUAGAAAACGGAUAAAAAUCUUUUCUAAUUGUCUGAAUAACUAAUGUAGAUGAGAAUGAUGAUUAAUCGAAAUAGAAAGGGUAAGACAAUAACGUUACCAGCUGCACAACGCCCUUGUCGGUGAUCCUUACCAUACCCCAAAGAGAAAUGGACUUAAGAUUAGGAACACACUUCGCAAUAGAGAUUUGGUUCAAUCCAUGAUCUGUUAUUUGGCAACCCCAAUCGCUUCUCGAGCUGGAAAACAAAAAAAGAUAUAGAUAUUAUACUUAGAGAAUCACAUAAGUUUGUUUUUUUUUUUUUUCCUCUUACGGCUAUUCUAACAUAUUUUUGUUUUUUUACUUCUCUAAUUUUUUGGUCAUCCAUGCAUCCGAAUCGAUUAAACAUUAAGGGUGAAAAAAAAUUAUGAAUCAAUACAAACUAUCACAAUAUAUAUAUCGAUUCAAUAGGUAACGAUCAACCCAACCCAACCAACCAACCAAAAAAAUCAUUGAAAAUUUAUUUUUGAAUAUGAAAUGUGAACAAAUGGUAAUUCAAGGUGUAAGGUGAUAUAUAUAUAUAAACUUCUAUCACUGUUAUUAAUAGAAACAUACUAGUGUCUAUUAAAUUUGAAAUUUUGUUAUAUAUUGUAAAUAUUUUGUCAAAUUUGCUCUUUUUUACGAUUCCUCUAUAUGUAAAUGCACGUUAACAUUCAAACCUAAAACCUAAAAUCACCUAAAAAUUAUAUAACUAGGUAUAGUUAUAUAUUGUAUACAUAUUUGGGUUGGGCCGAGUCAACUCGAGUCCCCAACCCCUUACUUGCACAAUUCACCUCCUUCGUUCAACUUUUUUUUAUUAAAUUUUCUAACUCAAUCCAACACAAAAUUUAACCGAUUUCUAUUAAGAACGAAGAAAAAAAAAAGUGAUUUCAGCCAUUUUGUAAUGAAUACAAAGAUAGUAAGAGAAUGAUUACAAAUCAAGCUCUCGAAGACUGUGUUCAUGGCGAAUAAGAUGAGCAGUGGAAUCAUCCUCCAAUUUCCAACCAGCAAAGCUCAAACUCUUUCUUCUACCAAUUGACAUUUUAACUCCAUCUUUCCAUCUUCUACACACUCCCCUCGCCCUAACAGACCAAUCCAAGAAAAUCAAAAUUACGCAUUCAUAAAGAAUAAGUAGGAGAAAAGAAGAAAAGAAAAAAAAACAAAAGUUACUGAGCCAAAUCGCUGAAGUAUGUUAUCAUCGCAAAAAUAUGAGCCAAUAGAUCAAUCGGUAACCGAUCAAUCUCCACCGCCGACUCCAUCUCUUCUCCUCUCUGGUGUUGUUAUUCACUUGAUCGUAUAUUUUCUUUGAAGCAAAG